CUGGCAUGAUAAUUACAUCCACCAUGAUACUGAUGGUUAAAUGUUACUACCCUGACCUCUGCUAUUCUGGAAUUCCAUCAUCACAAUUGACACUAUAGAACCCAGUUCCAUACAGAACGGAGCCUUAGGCAUCCAGCCGUUGGGGUGUGCCACUCAGAUCUCCUUUAAAGGAAGAAAUUGCCAUGAGGAAUGUAGUUAUCUGACAGCCUCCAGCUGCCUCAACUUUGAGGUCUUUCGCAGCAUUCACUCAAAGGCCACAUAGUCCUGGUCAAAGACUAAACAUGGCAAAGUUUCUAGAGCUGGUCCAUUCUUGCUCAUCAUAGGAUUCCUCUAAUGGGAAAUCUUUCCCCAAGGGUUCCGCAUUAGCCUAACCAAGACUUUCUCUGAGACUCUUAGUUAUUAUGAUGCUACUUCCACCAGCACCAGGGUUCUUGUUGCUAUCUGGCUGUUGAGUGAUUCAGUCCCACUGAGCAAUGUCAACCUGAUUGUCUUUCUUUGUUUUUAAGAAACAGGGUCUUGCUCUGCUGCCCAGGCUGGAGCACAGUAGUGUGAUCAUAGCUCACUACAGCCUUCAACUCCUGGGCCUUAGCAAUCCUCCUGCCUCAGCCUCCCAAGGAGCUAUGGCUGCAGGUAUCCGCCACCACUCAUUGACAGCCACUUCCAGUACUCACUGUCUUGGACACAGACUUGAGUAAAAGUACAGGGGCAAGAGGCCUGGAUGAAGAAAUACCCUCAGAAACUCCCACUCUUCUGGUUCCUGCUGAAGACUCCAGUAAUAAAAGUUAUUCAUACCUACCUCCACCAUCUUGGCUGGGAAGUCAAGGAAGAAGAUAGCAGCCCGCAACCCGGAAGAGGGCCCUCACCAGAACCUACCAUGCUGGCACCCAGACCUCAGACUUCCAGCCUCCAGAAAUGAGCUCCCUCUGCUGCAGGAACUCAACGAUAGGGAGGAAGAGUCCAGAAAAGUAGGGCUGUCAGCACCUCUGUGAGCAGCCGACGAUCCACAGCGGAUGGAGUUUGGUGGUAAAGGUACUCACUUCCUGUCUCUCUGGUGAUGAUUUUGAGCAUGUUCUACAAAGUCUUUCAGAUGGUCCCAGUAGGUUGGAGCCCAGCUGCCCUCAGUGGUAACCUGCCCAUUAACGUAUCCUGUGUUGGUUUCCUUUCCUCCCCUACCUCACCUCCCCACUCCCCUUUCUAUGAUUCCUAGAGUCACCUCCCAAAUAAACUUUCACAUUU
RNAcentral lists this long non-coding RNA (1236 nucleotides) under Homo sapiens (human). Its description in RNAcentral is "HSALNT0322818". The record is from RNAcentral. Lineage: Eukaryota; Metazoa; Chordata; Mammalia; Primates; Hominidae.